This 254-nucleotide ribosomal RNA is filed under the name uncultured bacterium. RNAcentral describes it as "partial 16S ribosomal RNA". It matches the Rfam family "Bacterial small subunit ribosomal RNA", at positions 524 to 776 of the family's 1533-position model. The record is from RNAcentral.
GACGUAGGGCGCGAGCGUUGUCCGGAUUUAUUGGGCGUAAAGAGCUCGUAGGCGGCUUGUCGCGUCGAAUGUGAAAACCCACAGCUUAACCCUGGGCCUGCAUUCGAUACGGGCAGACUAGAGUAUGGCAGGGGAGACUGGAAUUCCUGGUGUAGCGGUGAAAUGCGCAGAUAUCGGGAGGAACACCUGUGGCGAAAGCGGCGCACUGGACCACAACUGACGCUGAGGCGCGAAAGCUAGGGGGAGCAAACAGG